Molecule: ribosomal RNA, 498 nt
Filed under: uncultured bacterium
Lineage: Bacteria
Description: partial 16S ribosomal RNA
Rfam family: Bacterial small subunit ribosomal RNA
Source: RNAcentral
AACGAACGCUGGCGGCAUGCCUAAUACAUGCAAGUCGAACGAGGAUAUCCGCUGCUUUCGGGGAAUGGUAGAUUAGCGAAGGGGUGAUUAACACGUGGUGAGCCUACCCACGAGAGGGGGAUAACAUUCGGAGACAGAUUCUAAGACCCCAUAAUUCUUUGGACCGCGUUGGCCAGAGACUAGAUACGGCUGUUGCUGGCGUUCAUGCAUAGCACGGCGCCGUAUUAGCUCGUUGGUGAGGGAAUGGCUCACCAAAGCUGUGAUACGUAGCCGACCUGAGAGGGUGAUCGGCCACACUGGGACUGAGAAACGGCCCAGACUCCUACGGGAGGCAGCAGUAGGGAAUCUUACGCAAUGGGCGAAAGCCUGAUGGAGCAAUGCCGCGUGAAUGAAGAAGGUCUUCGGACCGUAAAGUUCUGUAAUUAGAGAAGAACAAGUCAAGGUGUAACUGUCAUGAUUUUGACGGUACCUAAACAGAAAGCCACGGCUAACUACGUG